This 580-nucleotide ribosomal RNA is filed under the name Condylostoma sp. Its description in RNAcentral is "SSU rRNA". It matches the Rfam family "Eukaryotic small subunit ribosomal RNA", at positions 337 to 985 of the family's 1831-position model. The record is from RNAcentral. Lineage: Eukaryota; Ciliophora; Heterotrichea; Heterotrichida; Condylostomatidae.
AUUGGACUACCAYGGCAAUGACGGGUGACGGAGAAUUAGGGUUUGAUUCSGGAGAGGGAGCSUGAGAAAUGGUUACCACAUAUAAGGAAGGCAGCAGGCGCGCAAAUUACCCAAUCCUAMCUCAGGGAGGUAGUGACAAGAAAUAACAACGCGGGGCAAAGUCUCGUGGAUUGGAAUGAGGACAAUGUAAAAGCCUUAUCGAGUACCCACUGGAGGGCAAGUCUGGUGCCAGCAGCCGCGGUAAUACCAGCUCCAGUAGGGUWUAUUAAAGUUGUUGCAGUUAAAAAGCUCGUAGUUGAAGUUCUGUACGGAUUGAGCCUCCACGGAGCGCACAAGCCGUACAUCCGUAUGAUUSUUCAGACACUUUACCUUGAGCAAAUUAGAGUGUUCCAGGCAGGCGCCAGCCUGAAUAGUCCAGCAUGGAAUAAUAGAAAAGGAUGMAGAGCCACKGUUGGUGCGUGGCCYUUAGUAAUGAUUAAUAGGGAUAGUUGGGGGCAUUCGUAUUUAAUUGUCAGAGGUGAAAUUCUAUGAUUUAUUAAAGACGAACCUAUGUGAAAGCAUKGAMCAAGGAUGUAUCAUA